AUUGAACGCUGGCGGCAUGCCUUACACAUGCAAGUCGAACGGUAACGGGCCUUCGGGUGCCGACGAGUGGCGAACGGGUGAGUAAUGUAUCGGAACGUACCUUUCAGUGGGGGAUAACGUAGCGAAAGUUACGCUAAUACCGCAUAUUCUGUGAGCAGGAAAGCAGGGGAUCGCAAGACCUUGCGCUGAUUGAGCGGCCGAUAUCAGAUUAGCUAGUUGGUGAGGUAAAGGCUCACCAAGGCGACGAUCUGUAGCGGGUCUGAGAGGAUGAUCCGCCACACUGGAACUGAGACACGGUCCAGACUCCUACGGGAGGCAGCAGUGGGGAAUUUGGACAAUGGGGGCAACCCUGAUCCAGCCAUGCCGCGUGAGUGAAGAAGGCCUUCGGGUUGUAAGCUACUUCGGUCCGGGAAGAAAUACGUAUAGGGUUAAGUACCGUCGUGCGGAUGACGGUACCGGCGAUAACGAAGACACCGGCCGUAACUACCGUGCCAGCAGCCGCGGUUAAAAACG
This 513-nucleotide ribosomal RNA is filed under the name uncultured bacterium. Its description in RNAcentral is "bacterial SSU rRNA". It matches the Rfam family "Bacterial small subunit ribosomal RNA", at positions 30 to 527 of the family's 1533-position model. The record is from RNAcentral.